This is a non-coding RNA of Salmo salar (Atlantic salmon), 54 nucleotides long. NCBI's taxonomy places the organism in Eukaryota, Metazoa, Chordata, Actinopteri, Salmoniformes, Salmonidae. The record is from Rfam.
UGCAUUCACUACUGUAAGUCACUCUGGAUAAGAGCGUCUGCUAAAUUACUAAAA